This 24-nucleotide non-coding RNA is filed under the name Arabidopsis thaliana (thale cress). Lineage: Eukaryota; Viridiplantae; Streptophyta; Magnoliopsida; Brassicales; Brassicaceae. The record is from RNAcentral.
CUGGUCAACAAAGAAAUGCAAGAC